GUACACAAAAAUGCACAUAUUGUGAGCUCGAUGAGUAGGGCGGGACACGUGGUAUCCUGUCUGAAUAUGGGGGGACCAUCCUCCAAGGCUAAAUACUCCUGACUGACCGAUAGUGAACCAGUACCGUGAGGGAAAGGCGAAAAGAACCCCGGCGAGGGGAGUGAAAAAGAACCUGAAACCGUGUACGUACAAGCAGUGGGAGCCUCUUUAUGGGGUGACUGCGUACCUUUUGUAUAAUGGGUCAGCGACUUAUAUUCUGUAGCAAGGUUAACCGAAUAGGGGAGCCGAAGGGAAACCGAGUCUUAACUGGGCGUUAAGUUGCAGGGUAUAGACCCGAAACCCGGUGAUCUAGCCAUGGGCAGGUUGAAGGUUGGGUAACACUAACUGGAGGACCGAACCGACUAAUGUUGAAAAAUUAGCGGAUGACUUGUGGCUGGGGGUGAAAGGCCAAUCAAACCGGGAGAUAGCUGGUUCUCCCCGAAAGCUAUUUAGGUAGCGCCUCGUGAAUUCAUCUCCGGGGGUAGAGCACUGUUUCGGCAAGGGGGUCAUCCCGACUUACCAACCCGAUGCAAACUGCGAAUACCGGAGAAUGUUAUCACGGGAGACACACGGCGGGUGCUAACGUCCGUCGUGAAGAGGGAAACAACCCAGACCGCCAGCUAAGGUCCCAAAGUCAUGGUUAAGUGGGAAACGAUGUGGGAAGGCCCAGACAGCCAGGAUGUUGGCUUAGAAGCAGCCAUCAUUUAAAGAAAGCGUAAUAGCUCACUGGUCGAGUCGGCCUGCGCGGAAGAUGUAACGGGGCUAAACCAUGCACCGAAGCUGCGGCAGCGACACUAUGUGUUGUUGGGUAGGGGAGCGUUCUGUAAGCCUGUGAAGGUGGCCUGUGAGGGUUGCUGGAGGUAUCAGAAGUGCGAAUGCUGACAUAAGUAACGAUAAAGCGGGUGAAAAGCCCGCUCGCCGGAAGACCAAGGGUUCCUGUCCAACGUUAAUCGGGGCAGGGUGAGUCGACCCCUAAGGCGAGGCCGAAAGGCGUAGUCGAUGGGAAACAGGUUAAUAUUCCUGUACUUGGUGUUACUGCGAAGGGGGGACGGAGAAGGCUAUGUUGGCCGGGCGACGGUUGUCCCGGUUUAAGCGUGUAGGCUGGUUUUCCAGGCAAAUCCGGAAAACCAAGGCUGAGGCGUGAUGACGAGGCACUACGGUGCUGAAGCGACAAAUGCCCUGCUUCCAGGAAAAGCCUCUAAGCAUCAGGUAACAUCAAAUCGUACCCCAAACCGACACAGGUGGUCAGGUAGAGAAUACCAAGGCGCUUGAGAGAACUCGGGUGAAGGAACUAGGCAAAAUGGUGCCGUAACUUCGGGAGAAGGCACGCUGAUAUGUAGGUGAAGCGACUUGCUCGUGGAGCUGAAAUCAGUCGAAGAUACCAGCUGGCUGCAACUGUUUAUUAAAAACACAGCACUGUGCAAACACGAAAGUGGACGUAUACGGUGUGACGCCUGCCCGGUGCCGGAAGGUUAAUUGAUGGGGUUAGCGGUAACGCGAAGCUCUUGAUCGAAGCCCCGGUAAACGGCGGCCGUAACUAUAACGGUCCUAAGGUAGCGAAAUUCCUUGUCGGGUAAGUUCCGACCUGCACGAAUGGCGUAAUGAUGGCCAGGCUGUCUCCACCCGAGACUCAGUGAAAUUGAACUCGCUGUGAAGAUGCAGUGUACCCGCGGCAAGACGGAAAGACCCCGUGAACCUUUACUAUAGCUUGACACUGAACAUUGAGCCUUGAUGUGUAGGAUAGGUGGGAGGCUUUGAAGUGUGGACGCCAGUCUGCAUGGAGCCGACCUUGAAAUACCACCCUUUAAUGUUUGAUGUUCUAACGUUGGCCCGUAAUCCGGGUUGCGGACAGUGUCUGGUGGGUAGUUUGACUGGGGCGGUCUCCUCCUAAAGAGUAACGGAGGAGCACGAAGGUUGGCUAAUCCUGGUCGGACAUCAGGAGGUUAGUGCAAUGGCAUAAGCCAGCUUGACUGCGAGCGUGACGGCGCGAGCAGGUGCGAAAGCAGGUCAUAGUGAUCCGGUGGUUCUGAAUGGAAGGGCCAUCGCUCAACGGAUAAAAGGUACUCCGGGGAUAACAGGCUGAUACCGCCCAAGAGUUCAUAUCGACGGCGGUGUUUGGCACCUCGAUGUCGGCUCAUCACAUCCUGGGGCUGAAGUAGGUCCCAAGGGUAUGGCUGUUCGCCAUUUAAAGUGGUACGCGAGCUGGGUUUAGAACGUCGUGAGACAGUUCGGUCCCUAUCUGCCGUGGGCGCUGGAGAACUGAGGGGGGCUGCUCCUAGUACGAGAGGACCGGAGUGGACGCAUCACUGGUGUUCGGGUUGUCAUGCCAAUGGCACUGCCCGGUAGCUAAAUGCGGAAGAGA
RNAcentral lists this ribosomal RNA (2401 nucleotides) under Escherichia coli. RNAcentral's name for it is "partial 23S ribosomal RNA". It matches the Rfam family "Bacterial large subunit ribosomal RNA", at positions 375 to 2764 of the family's 2925-position model. The record is from RNAcentral. Lineage: Bacteria; Pseudomonadati; Pseudomonadota; Gammaproteobacteria; Enterobacterales; Enterobacteriaceae.